AAGGGAGGUUGACGUUGGGAAAGGGGUUGCAAUGCAGAAAAAGUGGGUCCAAAUCCCGCUUCAGCACUAAGACCCUGCCUCAGCAGGGGUCCCCAAGCUUGGCUCCACCACCUGAGGAACCAGUUACUGCACACGUUGCCCAUCCAGGAGCUCGGGGCCCUGGUCCUGUUUCCCAGGGAGCUGUUGGCACCUGCAGGCUCCUGGCUGGGGUACAGGUGGGCUGUUUCUCUUCCAUGCCCAGCACUUUGUACUGAGCCCGUCCUGCAGAAACUCAAUGGGGCCACUAAAGGUGGCCACAUAUUCCUUGACCCUCUGUGAGUCUGUCAGUCUAUAUCUCUCCCUGGACGUAGGCAGGCCUGGGACGGCUUUGACCGUCAGUGUUGGGUGGACAUGGUGCUAUGCUGCACUCCAGGACCUCAGAGCCUGGCUGUUCCACUUUCUGCUCUUGGCCCUGAGCGGCCUUGAAGAAAUCCGACCAGGAGGGAGAGCCCAUGGAGCGGGAAGGCCUGUGGGGCUCAGCCCUGCACCCAGCCUGGAGGCCAGGCCUGUGCACACAGCUGGGACUGAGUACACUGAGUGUGCCCCCUGAAUGCCACGCGCAGCAGAAGAGCCACCCACACUGCCCUGCUGGACCUUGCCCGGACUCCAGACUCACAGACCAAGCACACAAGAGACCAGCAGCUUUGUCAUGCAGUAGCAGGUUCCCUGCUGGGGCCCAUGGGCUGCCCUGUGUACAAGCCACCUGCAGGUCCCGCCCAGCCCGUGGGCUCAGCAAAGUCCAGCCCCACACCCAGCCUACAUCAUCCUGUCCGGUAAACACUCUCCCCCUUCUUCCUUCUUCCUCCACACCUCACCUGCUGGAAGGGGAGAGCUCCUCAGUCUACCUGGAGCCCCUCCUGUACAAGAGGGUCCACGGUCGUCCAGACGGGCCAAACCCACCUCUUAGGUUGCACCCCUGGGCUGUAGAUGAGGGAUCCAGGGCUUGUGGGGGUGUGUACCCAAAAGGGCAGGUCCCUCAGGCUCAGCCUCCCCGCACCUCAGUUUCCUCUCCUGAAAAGUGGGCUUGUGACUGUAAAUGUUGCAGGGAGCUGCUGAGAAAAUGGCUGCUGAAAGCUUGUCAGGAGGUCGUUGUGACCAGUGAUGGGGCUGGGGUGUUUCUGUCAGGCCAGCGCUGGAGGCAGGGG
This 1184-nucleotide long non-coding RNA is filed under the name Macaca mulatta (Rhesus monkey). Its description in RNAcentral is "lncRNA (ENSMMUG00000063229.1)". The record is from RNAcentral. Lineage: Eukaryota; Metazoa; Chordata; Mammalia; Primates; Cercopithecidae.